Long non-coding RNA from Carassius auratus (goldfish), 363 nucleotides. RefSeq lists it as uncharacterized. Lineage: Eukaryota; Metazoa; Chordata; Actinopteri; Cypriniformes; Cyprinidae. The transcript has 3 exons. The record is from RefSeq and is a predicted model, not a curated record.
ACUCAAAGCAGAAGCUCAUUGAUGUGCUACGAGACUCAAACUGUAAACUGAGUGAAUGACGAUACGGAAAUGACGUCUGCUGUCCAUCCACUGGUGUCCAGCCACUGGUGUCUAGCAAGAAGUGAGUCUGCGGGGCUGCAGCUGGAUGCCUCUCCUUCAGUUUGGCGGUUUUCUGAGGUAUUGCUCUUUCACUAGUAAACACAAAGCAACAGAAUGUGGACUCAUACACAUGGUUUAUUUAAUCUCAUGUAAUGUGCUGAUUUAUUAGGCUUUUUAUUAUAUAAAAUAACACCAAAGACUUAUGCACUCAGUCUGUCUAUAAUAUGAAAACUGGUGAAACAAAGAAAAAUAUGAUAACAGUGA